UUAAAGUAUUUCAUCAGUUGGACCUACCAAAUCUCAAGUCAGGAUUUGGCCAUCUCUGCUCUUGCCAUUCCAUCUCUCACGACUCUAUCCUCAAAACCUGGGCUUGGCUGGGAACAAGAGCUUUAAAUCAGACUCUUUUAGGUUUUCCUAAUAAGACUGCUGCAAAUAAGGAUUGAGCCCUAGCUGAAGGCCUCAUCCUUCCAUGCCCUUUGCUUGUCCACCCAGCAACAAGCCAGGGUGAGGAGAAACAAAGACAGCAGCAUUGACCCACAGAACCCUUUGUUGGCAGGAGCAAAAAUUGAUAGUGGAACACAUGAGGGCAGUUCCACAAGAUCCGCGCAUGAAGAUUUGGAUUUGUCAAGAAAAAUAUUAUUCUUUAGUGAACAAGAAAGAAAACAAGACAAUUUAAAAACAUCUAGCUUAAAGAUGAGCAUGGCAAUUUCAGGUGUAAGUGGUCACGCAGGAAUGAAAGGCUGUGCUGUCUGUAUACCACUGCACUGUUGCCUCCCUGGAGAACUUUAUGCUUUACCCUGGAAGUACCCUAUCUUCAAAGCAGGGGUGUUUGCAAAUUCAUUCCCAUAACAGGGUGGAGCACAUCGAGAAAGACUGUACUGAAACUUCCAGAUAGAACUUAUGAGGACCCAGACCCAGCAGUGGCUGUGAGGAUGAAGAGGCAAUGGGAUCUGGGACCUCAGAUAGAUCCAAGAAAUAUGCAGCAGUGGGGAUCAAUGGCCUUGUAUGGAUCCUUGAUGUUAGAAGGAAAAGUGAGAUGAAUGA
This 777-nucleotide long non-coding RNA is filed under the name Pongo abelii (Sumatran orangutan). RNAcentral describes it as "lincRNA". The record is from RNAcentral. Lineage: Eukaryota; Metazoa; Chordata; Mammalia; Primates; Hominidae.